GUUUCCUUAGUGUAGUGGUUAUCACGUUCGCCUAAGACGCGAAAGGUCCCCGGUUCGAGACCGGGCGGAAACA
This 73-nucleotide transfer RNA is filed under the name Gadus morhua (Atlantic cod). RNAcentral describes it as "tRNA-Leu (AAG) (tRNA-Leu-AAG-16-1, tRNA-Leu-AAG-16-2)". The record is from RNAcentral. Lineage: Eukaryota; Metazoa; Chordata; Actinopteri; Gadiformes; Gadidae.